RNAcentral lists this ribosomal RNA (484 nucleotides) under uncultured bacterium. RNAcentral's name for it is "partial 16S ribosomal RNA". It matches the Rfam family "Bacterial small subunit ribosomal RNA", at positions 30 to 507 of the family's 1533-position model. The record is from RNAcentral.
AUUGAGCGCUGGCGGCAGGCCUAACACAUGCAAGUCGAGCGGAUGAAGGGAGCUUGCUCCUGGAUUCAGCGGCGGACGGGUGAGUAAUGCCUAGGAAUCUGCCUGGUAGUGGGGGAUAACGUCCGGAAACGGGCGCUAAUACCGCAUACGUCCUGAGGGAGAAAGUGGGGGAUCUUCGGACCUCACGCUAUCAGAUGAGCCUAGGUCGGAUUAGCUAGUUGGUGGGGUAAAGGCCUACCAAGGCGACGAUCCGUAACUGGUCUGAGAGGAUGAUCAGUCACACUGGAACUGAGACACGGUCCAGACUCCUACGGGAGGCAGCAGUGGGGAAUAUUGGACAAUGGGCGAAAGCCUGAUCCAGCCAUGCCGCGUGUGUGAAGAAGAUCUUCGGAUUGUAAAGCACUUUAAGUUGGGAGGAAGGGCAGUAAGUUAAUACCUUGCUGUUUUGACGUUACCAACAGAAUAAGCACCGGCUAACUUCGUG